RNAcentral lists this ribosomal RNA (53 nucleotides) under Garcinia livingstonei. RNAcentral's name for it is "partial 28S ribosomal RNA". The record is from RNAcentral. Lineage: Eukaryota; Viridiplantae; Streptophyta; Magnoliopsida; Malpighiales; Clusiaceae.
UGCCACCCCAGGUUGGGGGAGACUACCCGCUGAUGUUCCUUCUAUCGGUUGCG